UGGGGAAUAUUGGACAAUGGGCGAAAGCCUGAUCCAGCCAUGCCGCGUGUGUGAAGAAGGUCUUCGGAUUGUAAAGCACUUUAAGUUGGGAGGAAGGGCAUUAACCUAAUACGUUAGUGUUUUGACGUUACCGACAGAAUAAGCACCGGCUAACUCUGUGCCAGCAGCCGCGGUAAUACAGAGGGUGCAAGCGUUAAUCGGAAUUACUGGGCGUAAAGCGCGCGUAGGUGGUUUGUUAAGUUGGAUGUGAAAUCCCCGGGCUCAACCUGGGAACUGCAUUCAAAACUGACUGACUAGAGUAUGGUAGAGGGUGGUGGAAUUUCCUGUGUAGCGGUGAAAUGCGUAGAUAUAGGAAGGAACACCAGUGGCGAAGGCGACCACCUGGACUAAUACUGACACUGAGGUGUGAAAGCGUGGGGAGCAAGCA
RNAcentral lists this ribosomal RNA (427 nucleotides) under uncultured bacterium. Its description in RNAcentral is "partial 16S ribosomal RNA". It matches the Rfam family "Bacterial small subunit ribosomal RNA", at positions 355 to 774 of the family's 1533-position model. The record is from RNAcentral.